UCAUAUGCUUGUCUCAAAAAUUAACCCUUGCAUGUCUAAUUACAAAACUCACUAAUUUGAAACCGCGAAGGGCUCAUUAAAUCACACCUAAUCUACUGGAUAGUUAACAGUUACUUGGAUAACUGCGGUAAUUCUGGAGCUAAUACAUGCAACAAGCCUCAAACUUACGUGAAAGGCGCUUUUAUUAAAUCAAAACCAAACGUUCUCGGACGUAUUUUUGGUGACUCUGGAUAACUUUGGGCUGAUCGCAUUACCCUUGCGCUGGCAACAUAUCCUUCAAAGGUGUGCCCUAUCAACUGUCAACUGUGGCAUAAACCCCCACAGUGGUUUUGACGGGUAACGGGAAAUCAGGGUUCGAUUCCGGAGAGGGAGCCUUAAAAACGGCUACCACAUCUAAGGAAGGCAGCAGGCACGCAAAUUACCCAAUGACCGCAGGUCAAGGUAGUGACAAAAAAUAACGAUACGGGACUCAUCCAAGGCCCCGUAAUCGGAAUGAGUACACUUUAAAACCGUCCCCAAGGAUCUAUUGAAGGGAAA
RNAcentral lists this ribosomal RNA (537 nucleotides) under uncultured eukaryote. Its description in RNAcentral is "SSU rRNA". It matches the Rfam family "Eukaryotic small subunit ribosomal RNA", at positions 24 to 558 of the family's 1831-position model. The record is from RNAcentral.